RNAcentral lists this unclassified non-coding RNA (185 nucleotides) under soil metagenome. Its description in RNAcentral is "partial internal transcribed spacer 1". The record is from RNAcentral.
UGAAUUUUACACAUGUCAUAUUUGACACCCAACUGUGGCAUUCUGUGGGGCCUUGUAUUGGACGACGUUCACACGUCUUGUGGAGUUUUACUCCAAAGGAGGUGCGGCCAUCGUCCAAACAACACUAUCAACCAACUUUUAUUACGAUUGGAUUACUCUAUGGUGGGCACAGUCACAAAAACUGA